Long non-coding RNA from Daphnia pulicaria, 1443 nucleotides. RefSeq lists it as uncharacterized. Lineage: Eukaryota; Metazoa; Arthropoda; Branchiopoda; Diplostraca; Daphniidae. The record is from RefSeq and is a predicted model, not a curated record. The transcript has 7 exons.
GAGCGCCUAUAAGCCGCAUAAUUCGCAUUUCCGACUUAAGCGUCAGACAGUUGGCGUAUUGGCCCAACCGAAGCCAAUGUAGCCAACGGCAUGAGCACAAAUAACAAUGGUUCCAUGGCCGCUGUAGAAAGUCUGGUGCUUCCACGGCCAGUUUUAGUGUUGGUAAAGGAUUUGAUACCGGUAUAUUACAGAAGUAGUCAACGCUCGAGUACAACAUUUUGUGAAUCAGACUACAAAAGAAACGUCAGAUUUCCUUCCAUGAAAAACGAAAAGGACAACAAGGUCAACGAUGGUUCUUUGUUAGCUAACUCUUUGCCCUUUAGUUGCUACCGUUUGAAAACCUCCAGCGCAGCGAUAUUGGAAUAGUGUAGUACUAACUGCAGCAUCACCUUUAACCGCACGGCAUUCAUCAACUAGUAAAACAGGACUGGACUGAAGAAUUGAAUUGUGGAAGGAUGUGCGGACGUGUAAAACGGAACUUAGGCUAUGCUCCCAGCAAACUGGUGGAUGGCAACUGACAAGAUACUAAAAUCGAAAACAAGCAGACGAAUUGGUGAGAGAGGUGUCGGAAGGGAAAAGAUUUCGUGUCGAACAAGGCAUGGACCUAAUCCUGAUAGCAUCUGCCUACUCCUGAUGCCACCGUCCUAGUAGUAAUCGGAAGAAAAUCCAGUGACUACCGACAUCACCUAACAAAUCACAAUUUCUAAUCGAUCGUCGAUCAGCGUGGAAAAAAAGGAAAAGUUGACAAAACCUGCAGGUCGACCACGACACCCCGCAAGAUGAAGAAAACUUCCGGUAUUGCUCAUUGGCCAACAUCAACAAGACGACAUCGGAUGAUUCUGAUUUUGCCAUGAACGGAAGAGAACACUUGGUGCAACACUAUAGUUUGGUUAACUUUUGAAGAGAGAGUGAGGAGAAAAUACUUCAAGGAUCUCAUUCCUCCAAUAACCAUGGCAGAUUUGUUCCCGGUUUAUCCUCGCACCUGUUCGAUAGACUUUAUCAAUUGGCGGAAAAUGACGAGUGGUCGGCCGCGCUGAAAUUCAAGAUCGAUAAAUUAUACAUAUAAAUGUAAAUAAAUUAAAAGUGCAUAUCUGGGCUCCCUUCUUCAGUGGCCCCGUUUCCCUAAAUAACCACUAACCAACGCCCGCCGGUGGUCACUCACUCGCUGCGACAACCAGGAGGAAGGGAGAUGUUUGGUCGAACGGGGACUUGCAAGGCGCAUGAUUCGAUGAAAUCUGUUGGAGGGUCAUGAGUCUAAGCCGGAAGCCUACUAUGAUACACUGCUCUCAUAAUAACUGCUCCUCAGCUCUCUUCGCUCUUUUUCCGGUUUCUCUUAACCAUGGCCGGGUAAUCUCCCUGGUCGAGUCAGUCGGGCAGUGUCUCCCCCUGCUUGACUGGCAGCAGUUUGUAACGGACGGUCUGUUUAAUAAAUAAACCAUAUAU